RNAcentral lists this long non-coding RNA (885 nucleotides) under Rattus norvegicus (Norway rat). Its description in RNAcentral is "long non-coding RNA NONRATT025746". Lineage: Eukaryota; Metazoa; Chordata; Mammalia; Rodentia; Muridae. The record is from RNAcentral.
AGAAAAUCUCUUCAUGAGAAUAAAUUGAAGAGACUGCAGGAGAAAGUGGAAGUCUUGGAGGCAAAGAAAGAAGAAUUAGAGACAGAAAACCAGGUGUUAAAUAGACAAAAUGUUCCAUUUGAAGAAUAUACAAGGCUUCAGAAACGACUAAAGGACAUACAGAGAAGACAUAAUGAAUUUCGAAGUCUAAUCUUGGUUCCUAACAUGCCUCCCGCAGCAUCGGUCAAUCCUGCUAACUUCCAGUCCUCAGCUAUAGUUCCUGGAGUGGAACUCUCCUUUCCCCCUCAUCUGCAGACUGGAAGAGCUAGAAACUACACAAAGAAAACAACUAGAGGAACUUGGAUCUCCCGGGGAGUGAUGCUGGAAGAAAGGCAAAGCCAGAAACUCAAUAAAGUAUGACGUUUAACGUGUGGCCUCCAGGUGCUUUCUUACUGUUUGCCAAAAUUGAGCUGCCUCAAGACAAGGUACUAGCUAUGCGCUGCACUGCAAGGGCUCCAAGAUUUUAGGAUAAUACUAAGAAAAAUGAAGUAUUCAUAUAUUUAGGACAUGCAUUGAUAAUCUUUUGACAAUGCAAAAAUAAAAGGAACUAGUUAAUUAAAAAUCAAGUUUUCAAAUUUAUUAAUUUUUAUUUUGUUGAUAUUUUCUGACAUUUUGCUUGAAAUAUAUCCAUCCUGAAGUCCCUUUUCCUUAUCUUUGAAAUGUCUCCUUGGUAAUAACAAGAUCAGUAAAUAUCUCCUUUCCUAUAUAUAAAAGUUUUGGAAAAGAUGGUCAUUUAAAAGUAUAAAAAACACUUAAAAGUUUCUAAACAUGUAUAUUAUAGAAAUCCUUUCCUAAAAGCUGUGCAUUUAAUUUAUUGAAUAACUUAAUAAAUAUUUUUGUAUCUAU